GAGGGCGUAGCUCAGUGGCAGAGCACGUGCUUAGCACGCACGAGGUCCUGGGUUCCAUUCCCAGCACCUCCU
This 72-nucleotide transfer RNA is filed under the name Camelus bactrianus (Bactrian camel). It matches the Rfam family "tRNA". Rfam says of the family: Transfer RNA (tRNA) molecules are approximately 80 nucleotides in length. Their secondary structure includes four short double-helical elements and three loops (D, anti-codon, and T loops). RNAcentral also lists the same sequence under 2 other names. The record is from Rfam by way of RNAcentral. Lineage: Eukaryota; Metazoa; Chordata; Mammalia; Artiodactyla; Camelidae.